CAUGCCCUGGGGUGUUUGGUAGUUGGUUACGUCCCUCGAGCCGAUAAUCACACUUUUGGAGGUUGCUCGUAGUUUCUGGUGUGCAUGUCCGAUUACCGGAAAGCCUAACGUUACUCAGCGACCCCCUCCUUGAACCUUCGGGUUCAGGGCCAUAAUCGACGCCGGCACCUUGGGGAUCUU
This 180-nucleotide non-coding RNA is filed under the name Oceanospirillaceae bacterium. Its description in RNAcentral is "6S RNA". It matches the Rfam family "6S / SsrS RNA". Rfam says of the family: E. coli 6S RNA was the first non coding RNA to be sequenced, but its function was unknown until recently. It consists of 184 nucleotides that fold into an extended hairpin structure with a large single-stranded internal bulge. The 6S RNA specifically associates with RNA polymerase holoenzyme containing the sigma70 specificity factor. The record is from RNAcentral. Lineage: Bacteria; Pseudomonadati; Pseudomonadota; Gammaproteobacteria; Oceanospirillales; Oceanospirillaceae.